Molecule: ribosomal RNA, 177 nt
Filed under: uncultured Pantoea sp.
Lineage: Bacteria; Pseudomonadati; Pseudomonadota; Gammaproteobacteria; Enterobacterales; Erwiniaceae
Description: partial 16S ribosomal RNA
Rfam family: Bacterial small subunit ribosomal RNA
Source: RNAcentral
UAAACCGGAGGAAGGUGGGGAUGACGUCAAGUCAUCAUGGCCCUUACGAGUAGGGCUACACACGUGCUACAAUGGCGCAUACAAAGAGAAGCGACCUCGCGAGAGCAAGCGGACCUCACAAAGUGCGUCGUAGUCUCGGAUCGGAGUCUGCAACUCGACUCCGUGAAGUCGGAAUCG